Molecule: long non-coding RNA, 1039 nt
Filed under: Phoenix dactylifera (date palm)
Lineage: Eukaryota; Viridiplantae; Streptophyta; Magnoliopsida; Arecales; Arecaceae
Description: long non-coding RNA (PDAC_LNC014554)
Source: RNAcentral
CGAGAUAUAUAUUCCCGAGAGCCUCCCUGCAUUAACAAACUUUGUGGAAGAGAACCAUCAAACAUUUCUCCUUCAGAAAGAAACAUCACAAUAGUUUCAGGGUUGCUUUCCACAAAGUUGUAGUCAUGAUAUCAUCAUUCUACUACCAACCUGAAUUGACUGGGCUAAAUAAAGAACUGCCCAGAACUGGUGAAGGGAAAUUCAUGGUGGACCUCUUUAGACCUGUCACAUUCAGGCAUGGACUCAGGAAACCAAAAAGCCCAGGCAACCACAGGCAACCACAUCCAAAUCAAGCUCUUUCGGAAAGCAAUUCAUAACAGUCUGAAGCUAUCAGCCACGCAUUAGUUUCUAAAGCAAAUUGACCUCCCAGCCUGAUGAUGUUACGCACCAUUAACUCAGCUCGACAGUCCAGCUGUUGUUCAAGUUCUGAAAGCAAAGAAUAACAAAAAAUAAAAUUUAGGCAAAAAGCACCGGCCGUUGACAUCUGAAAUAGACUGAUGCCCUCACACAAACGAAAGCCUUAAUGUUCCACUUCAUCACCCACUCCAUUGCUGAUGCCUACUCAAAAAGUCUGUGGCACCAUCAAGCUGAUCCAGAUUACCAGAUGACCAGCAUAAAACCAAAGCAUUGACUGCAGGAACAUAGGACGCUACAUGUUGUGCCUUGAGAGAAGCAUGAUGUGGUGCACUCAUAGAUUCUGCAAUAAUCUCCGAUUAAUAUGCUUUGCAAAACAUUCACCAGUUUCCCAACAAGAAAAUGUUCAGCUGCUUCCUAGCAAAUGAAAAGGAGUGAGUCGUCAUCUUAAAGAACCAGGAUCUGCUUUACUCUUUAAAAAGCUCCCCUUGAAGUUCAAAUCCCAUCCAAUGGUCAAAAGAAUGCUUUGUUGCUUAAUAUGUUGCAGCAACCCCGAAGUCGGGGAUACCUGCAGUACAUUUACCUAAUGUGGAGCCUCCCCUACCACCAUAAUCCACAAAUGAGUCUGAAAAGUACAGUUAAGAAAGCAAGCAUGAAACAUAAUUUUUAACAGCCUCUCCCGUUG